RNAcentral lists this ribosomal RNA (674 nucleotides) under Kocuria sp. MJB28. RNAcentral's name for it is "bacterial SSU rRNA". It matches the Rfam family "Bacterial small subunit ribosomal RNA", at positions 76 to 762 of the family's 1533-position model. Lineage: Bacteria; Bacillati; Actinomycetota; Actinomycetes; Micrococcales; Micrococcaceae. The record is from RNAcentral.
CAGCUUGCUGGGCGGAUUAGUGGCGAACGGGUGAGUAAGACGUGAGUAACCUGCCCUUGACUCUGGGAUAAGCCUGGGAAACUGGGUCUAAUACUGGAUACUACCUCUUACCGCAUGGUGGGUGGUGGAAAGGGUUUUACUGGUUUUGGAUGGGCUCACGGCCUAUCAGCUUGUUGGUGGGGUAAUGGCUCACCAAGGCGACGACGGGUAGCCGGCCUGAGAGGGUGACCGGCCACACUGGGACUGAGACACGGCCCAGACUCCUACGGGAGGCAGCAGUGGGGAAUAUUGCACAAUGGGCGGAAGCCUGAUGCAGCGACGCCGCGUGAGGGAUGACGGCCUUCGGGUUGUAAACCUCUUUCAGUAGGGAAGAAGCGAGAGUGACGGUACCUGCAGAAGAAGCGCCGGCUAACUACGUGCCAGCAGCCGCGGUAAUACGUAGGGCGCAAGCGUUGUCCGGAAUUAUUGGGCGUAAAGAGCUCGUAGGCGGUUUGUCGCGUCUGCUGUGAAAGCCCGGGGCUCAACCCCGGGUCUGCAGUGGGUACGGGCAGACUAGAGUGCAGUAGGGGAGACUGGAAUUCCUGGUGUAGCGGUGAAAUGCGCAGAUAUCAGGAGGAACACCGAUGGCGAAGGCAGGUCUCUGGGCUGUUACUGACGCUGAGGAGCGAAAGCAU